GGGCUCAAUUUGGAAGUACAUAUUCUAAAAUGUGAAAAUACAAAAAAAAAUCAGCAUGUCUCCUACACAAGAAUGAUAUGUGAAUUUGUGGAGCAUCCUAUAUUUAU
Small nuclear RNA from Mastomys coucha (southern multimammate mouse), 107 nucleotides. The record is from RefSeq and is a predicted model, not a curated record. Lineage: Eukaryota; Metazoa; Chordata; Mammalia; Rodentia; Muridae.